This 45-nucleotide non-coding RNA is filed under the name Trichobilharzia regenti. Lineage: Eukaryota; Metazoa; Platyhelminthes; Trematoda; Strigeidida; Schistosomatidae. The record is from RNAcentral.
GCCCUGCUGAUGAGUGCCAACUAGGACGAAACCUAGGUCCAGGGC